CCAUAAAAAUUAGACAGAAGCAUUCUCAGAAACUUGUUUAUGAUGUGUGUACUCAACUAACAGAGUUGAACCUUUCCUUUGACAGAGCAGUUUUGAAACACUCUUUUUACAGAAUCUGCAAGUGGUUAUUUGGAUAGAUUUGAGGAUUUCGUUGGAAACGGGAAUAUCUUCAUGUAAAAGGUAGACAGAAGCAUUCUCAGAAACUUCUUUGUGAUGUUUGCAUUCAAGUCACAGAGUUGAACAUUCCCUUUCAUAGAGCAGGUUUGAAACACUCUUUUUGUAGUACCUGGAAGUGGAAAUUUGGAGCACUUUGAGGCCUAAGGUGAAAAAGGAAAUCUCAUCCCAUAAUAACUAGACAGAAGCAUUCUCAGAAACUUGUUUCUGACGUGUGUUCUCAACUAACAGACUUGAA
This 412-nucleotide long non-coding RNA is filed under the name Homo sapiens (human). RNAcentral describes it as "HSALNT0385499". Lineage: Eukaryota; Metazoa; Chordata; Mammalia; Primates; Hominidae. The record is from RNAcentral.